CUUCACACCCUGCUCACUUCCAUUGGGGUCCUCCUGUCACCUGGGAUUCCCCCCACACAACACGUACUGCCCGUGGCCUCCCCUCUGCACCUACACGCACAGGAAGGAGCCCGGUCUCCCCCACCCGCAGCGAACCCAAACGGUGCAGAGGGGCUGAGCCAGAGCCGCUGACUUCCUCCCGGGCCAGGAGAGCACGGCAGCCGCAGGAGAUGUGCCGCGGGCGGCGCUGCUGGAGCCUCGGCUCCCUCCUGCUGCUGCUGCUGCUGCUGCUGCUGGGGCAAAACCUGGCUCUUCUCAUCGAGAUCCCGCAGGAUGCGGUCAAUGGCACCGUGGGGCAGUCCGUGCUCCUGCCCGUCUCCUACAGAGUCAACAGCUCCUUUCCCUUCCCACUGUCAAUUCAGUGGAAGUUUGGGAACAGCUCGCAAGUGCUCAUCACCUGCACGGUGCUGAACUGCUCCCUGGAUGCUGAAGGAGCUCCCGAGAAAUGCUCUGCACAAUAUUUCCCUCACAUCCCAUACCGGCACCGCAUUGAGGUCUUCCCUGAGAACGCAUCCCUGCUGCUGCGGGACCUGCAGCUCAGUGACAGCGGGGUGUACAGCAUUGCCUUCCAACAGCAAAUGCAAAGCGGGCAGAUCAGCCUGGCAGUGCACAAGCAGCAUGUUUCCACUGGGCAUCCUGACAAAGGCACAGAGCGAGGAGCGGGAGGUACGGCUGCACGCAUCCCUUGCUACAGCCUUGGAGCCUGCUACUGCUUCAUCCUGCUGCUCCUGCAGCUGCUCUUCCACCUGCUGUGCCUGCGGGGUGGCUGCCAGCAGCAGAGCCGACCUGGAGCAACAUGAGGCUGGUGCUGGGGAGAAGAGAGCUGGCGAGUGGGAGCAGACAGAGCUGGCACCUCAGGACACAGCAGUGCCCAGGCACAACGAGUGUGCUCAGCAGUGCGUCGGGCUGUUUUCCCUGGCACCAGUCGCUGUGCUGGAGAAACCCAGGCGUCCACAAGCACCUGUCCCUGCCUGCAGUUUGAAACUACUUCCCCACUCCCAUUUCCCCACCAUUAAGUAACUCUUCCCCUGGGCAAAUAAACGUCCCUUCCUCCACCA
RNAcentral lists this long non-coding RNA (1097 nucleotides) under Phasianus colchicus (ring-necked pheasant). RNAcentral's name for it is "lncRNA (ENSPCLG00000006556.1)". Lineage: Eukaryota; Metazoa; Chordata; Aves; Galliformes; Phasianidae. The record is from RNAcentral.